UUGUGCUCACUUCAGCAACAGAUGUAUUAAAUUGGAACAACCCAAAGAUUAGCAAGUUCCCUGCAAAAGGAUGACACAUAAAUUCAUGAAUCAUUCUAUAUUUUU
This is a small nuclear RNA of Ailuropoda melanoleuca (giant panda), 105 nucleotides long. NCBI's taxonomy places the organism in Eukaryota, Metazoa, Chordata, Mammalia, Carnivora, Ursidae. The record is from Ensembl.